Molecule: ribosomal RNA, 492 nt
Filed under: uncultured bacterium
Lineage: Bacteria
Description: partial 16S ribosomal RNA
Rfam family: Bacterial small subunit ribosomal RNA
Source: RNAcentral
AGUGAACGCUGGCGGUAGGCCUAACACAUGCAAGUCGAACGGCAGCACAGUAAGAGCUUGCUCUUACGGGUGGCGAGUGGCGGACGGGGGAGGAAUCCAUCGGAAUCUACUUUUUCGUGGGGGAUAACGUAGGGAAACUUACGCUAAUACCGCAUACGACCUACGGGUGAAAGCAGGGGAUCUUCGGACCUUGCGCGAUUGAAUGAGCCGAUGUCGGAUUAGCUAGUUGGCGGGGUAAAGGCCCACCAAGGCGACGAUCCGUAGCUGGUCUGAGAGGAUGAUCAGCCACACUGGAACUGAGACACGGUCCAGACUCCUACGGGAGGCAGCAGUGGGGAAUAUUGGACAAUGGGCGCAAGCCUGAUCCAGCCAUACCGCGUGGGUGAAGAAGGCCUUCGGGUUGUAAAGCCCUUUUGUUGGGAAAGAAAAGCAGCAGGUUAAUACCCCGCUGUUCUGACGGUACCCAAAGAAUAAGCACCGGCUAACUUCGUG